AUUGAACGCUGGCGGCAUGCUUUACACAUGCAAGUCGAACGGUAACAGGGUGCUUGCACCGCUGACGAGUGGCGAACGGGUGAGUAAUGCGUCGGAACGUGCCGAGUAGUGGGGGAUAACGCAGCGAAAGUUGUGCUAAUACCGCAUACGUACUGAGGUAGAAAGUGGGGGACCUUCGGGCCUCACGCUAUUCGAGCGGCCGACGUCUGAUUAGCUAGUAGGUGAGGUAAAGGCUCACCUAGGCGACGAUCAGUAGCGGGUCUGAGAGGAUGAUCCGCCACACUGGGACUGAGACACGGCCCAGACUCCUACGGGAGGCAGCAGUGGGGAAUUUUGGACAAUGGGCGAAAGCCUGAUCCAGCCAUGCCGCGUGUCUGAAGGAGGCCUUCGGGUUGUAAAGGACUUUUGUCAGGGAGGAAAUCCCUAGUGCUAAUAACACUGGGGGAUGACAGUACCUGAAGAAUACGCACCGGCUAACUACGUGCCAGCAGCCGCCGUAA
Molecule: ribosomal RNA, 500 nt
Filed under: uncultured bacterium
Lineage: Bacteria
Description: partial 16S ribosomal RNA
Rfam family: Bacterial small subunit ribosomal RNA
Source: RNAcentral